Molecule: long non-coding RNA, 2112 nt
Organism: Cryptotermes secundus
Lineage: Eukaryota; Metazoa; Arthropoda; Insecta; Blattodea; Kalotermitidae
Exons: 4
Source: RefSeq, a predicted model, not a curated record
AACUCUAAGGAGUCAGUUAUACUUUGGAUUUCAGAUGAGAAACACGUACCACAUUUGUGCUCUGCAGAUAACAUCCAAAUGUCUUCAGACAUUAGUUGGAUUAACCACAGGCUCGACUCAGACAUCAGUUACGAACAUAACUUCGCUCUAAGUAACCGGCAAAUCUUGUAGAAACAUAGAAAUAUAUUACUGAGACAUAUUUAUUAGUUUGCUUUCUGUCAGCACACCAUGUAUAGAUGUUUGACAAGUUUCAACCUUUGGGCUCUCAUCAGACAUUUUACAUGCACCUCAAAUUUUCUGCACUUUCUCUGUAUUGGCCAGUGUUUAGAUAUGGGUGUAUUUUGUGUUUGUUAUUUACAUAUUAGUGCAAUACCUCUUUUUAAUUAAAAUAUUAGAAUAUUAAAAUGUCAAAUACGUGAUUAUAAUGUUUAUUUCUAGUUAAAAUACCUUAACUAUAACAUAUGAAUAUAUAGGACUGUUGCAUUUGUUGCGGUGUAGUUUCUAUGCCAUGGUGCAGUGCAGUGCAGUGCAGAUUUCUUUCAUCUGCUAUUGUUGUCGGUUUUGUAGUGCAGCCGUUUCGGGUGAUCCUAUGAUGGUCAGCUCUGGGCUUUACGAUAUUUAAAAUUUAUUAGAAUGCCUUGAAUAUAACAACGGAUAUUGUCGAAUUUGAUGUCAUAUAUUUUUUUGUGUGUCGUGUUAUAGUGCAAGUUGUCAUCGUAUUUUGUCGUUGUUAGCUCUAUAUUGGAUUUCUCAUGGGUGUGAUAUGAUAUUGUGAGAGUUUUGUUUGUGAAGUUUUAUCCCGUGAAACUGGUGCAGUGAUAGCACCAGUUCCACAUGAUCAUCCUGACAAAACUCACGAAGAUAGACACGCCAACAACUUACACUACAGCAGUGUUUCUCAAACGGAGGGCCGCUGCCUGGUACCGGGCCCUCAUCUUAUAUAAAAAAAAAACAUUUACAGGGGCCGUGGACUGACAAAGGUUGAGAACCACUGCGCUACAGCACUGCACACACCUACACUACAACCAACCCAACAAUCUUAUAUUCGUCAGCUAUAAUUGUGGCAUUUUAACUACUAAGAAACAACAAGCUGAGGUUAAAAGCACAAAUGAUAUAAUUGUCAAAAGUGCUACAUUAGAAACCAUCAAAUUAAUAAGAAAUAUAAUGGCCAUAUAUUUGUCAUUUUGAUAUUCUAAUAUUGUAAUUAAGACGAGAUAUUGCACUAAUAUGUAAAUGACAACACAAAAUACACCCAUAUGUAAACAUUGGCCAAAUUACGUAAAGAGCAGAUAAGUUGAAGGUAUAUGUACAACACCUGAUGAUAACAGAAAGACUGAAAUAUGUUGUGAAAUUUAAUGCAUUUUAUGCCUAUAUAUAAAUUGUGUUGACGGAAGCAAAACAAUAAAUAUAAUACAAAUCAACAUGACGCCAAGAUAUAAUAAUUCUACUGAGGUAAAGUCAUUACUGGCCGUCAUCAGAAGGCAUAGCCAACACUACAAAAAUAUAUUACCAACUUUAAUGGAUCAAGGUAUCUCUUAUGAAGUGUAUCCGGUAUGAUCAUUCACGUAGCCUUGAGGGAUCUUUCGAACCCAAGCUUCUCUAUGUUAAAGAAAGAAACUCAGCUAACUACAAGAAAAGAGUCCCUGAAAACAUACGGAGACAGGGAGUAGCGCCAUCGAUUGGGCCCAACUAAGUAGAUUUUACUUGAAGACGGAGACAGAAUCCAGUCUCCAAAACGUCGUGUUUUGAAAAAUCAACAGGAUGGUAUUUUUAGAUAAAGGGAGGACGAUGGAUAAAGUGCAAAAACAUAAUAUUUGUACUGAUGUACCGUCGUCACAAACUUUUAGAUCUUAGAUACGAACUAAAUUUAACUUCCUUACAGAGAGUGAAAUAUUAAACUACAAUUGGCCACAUGUUCCAGAAUAAUGACAUAUCUUGGAACUGCCCCUAAACUUCACACACGAAAGGGGUAUGAGAAAGUUCUUGCGAUGUCUAUGCAUAAAUAUAAACUUAUCAUAGUCAGCUUAAUUUACAGACCAGGUUAUAUGUAACCUGUCAUAUUUUCAUGAUAGGCUUGUAGAAAUAUUCAUAAGAUUUUAUUUUUGUAUCUGA